GAGAAACUGAGAGCAGCAUUCAUCCCAUUGCCGAGAAACUGAGAGCAGCAUUCAUCCCAUUGCCGAGAAACUGAGAGCAGCAUUCAUCCCAUUGCCGAGAAACUGAGAGCAGCAUUCAUCCCAUUGCCGAGAAACUGAGAGCAGCAUUCAUCCCAUUGCCGAGAAACUGAGAGCAGCAUUCAUCCCAUUGCCGGUAAGUGCGAACGUUAAAUGGUAAAAUUGAAAUUUAGUGUUAAGAUUUAAGUUGAUGAUCACAAAUCGAAGCGAGGCUAGAAACUCAAAAUGGGUUGAGAUCAUUUUUGUUUUACUUUAAGGGGUUUGUUU
Nematostella vectensis (starlet sea anemone) is the source of this 324-nucleotide long non-coding RNA. RefSeq lists it as uncharacterized. NCBI's taxonomy places the organism in Eukaryota, Metazoa, Cnidaria, Anthozoa, Actiniaria, Edwardsiidae. The record is from RefSeq and is a predicted model, not a curated record. The transcript is spliced from 6 exons.